GUAGGGAAUAUUGGGCAAUGGAUGCAAGUCUGACCCAGCCAUCCCGCGUGCCGGAAGAAGGCCCUCAGGGUUGUAAACGGCUUUUGACGGUGAAGAAUCGACAGGAUGCGUCCUGUUUUGACGGUAGCCGUUGAAUAAGCACCGGCUAACUCCGUGCCAGCAGCCGCGGUAAUACGGAGGGUGCGAGCGUUGUUCGGAUUUAUUGGGUUUUAAGGGUGCGUAGGCUUGAAGGUCAGUUCGCGGUGAAAAGCUGUCGCUUAACGAUAGUCUUGCCGCAGAUACUUCCUUUCUUGGAUGAGGAGGAGGCCACUGGAACGGAUGGUGUAGCGGUGAAAUGCAUAGAUAUCAUCCAGAACACCGAUUGCGAAGGCAGGUGGCUGUACCUUAAUCGACGCUGAUGCACGAAAGCAUGGGGAGCAAACAGGAUUAGAAACCCGUGUAGUCC
RNAcentral lists this ribosomal RNA (445 nucleotides) under uncultured bacterium. Its description in RNAcentral is "partial 16S ribosomal RNA". It matches the Rfam family "Bacterial small subunit ribosomal RNA", at positions 354 to 796 of the family's 1533-position model. The record is from RNAcentral.